CGAGUAAAAUACAUGUUCAAAUUACAAAACGGAAGGGCUAUCAUCAUACAAAAAACAAACAAAAACUAAUCUAAGUCCUCGGCCCUUUCUCCCGAGGCUGUGCUCCCCUGCUCCUCCACCGCGUCCUCACCGUCAACAUCGACCUCUUGGUCCUCGGCGGUUUCCUCGGACUUUGACAGCUCGAGAGUAUCAGCAAUCUCGGGGAUGUUCUUUAGAUCCUCGGGAUUAGCAUCGGGCUUCGAUCUCAAAAAUGCCCGAGCUUCCUUGAAGGCAUGGAAGUACGAGCCCAUAGCAUACUCCCCCUUGAGGCCGUUAAACUCCUCGGACAUUUUAAAGUCCUCAAUCGCGACCCCUCGAGCUUCAGCCAGGCGAGCCUCAAAAUCAACCUUCAAACACUCGAUCUCGAGCUUUAAACCUUCAGCCUCGCCCUUAGCAGUUCCAGCCUCUUCUCGAGCUCUAUGGGCAUCAUUUUUCGAAUCCUCGAGCUCCUUCCGGAGAAGGAACCGUUCAGCCUCCAAGUCAGCUAUCCUCUUCUCCAGUGCUCGAGAAGAGUCCUCGAGUUCAGUAGUCUUUUGGGCCUCAUCUUUCCCCUUCAGAGAAAGGCCUCGGGCAAUGCUCAAAGCCUACAACAUAUAAACCCGAGCUUAAAAUAAUCACAGCGUUUAAACCUUUUUAAACCUUGUAUUUUAAACAAAGUAGAAUGGGCGAGCUUACCUUAAGAGUAAGAGAUUCCAAAGCCUUCAUGCCCUCAUCAAAACCGAGGUCCUUCCUGUACUUGUCCACGAUGCUUGACACCAGAGGACACCAGUCAGGCUCCUGGUUUUGGAAAGAGGGCAUAGGUCG
Molecule: long non-coding RNA, 843 nt
Filed under: Olea europaea subsp. europaea
Lineage: Eukaryota; Viridiplantae; Streptophyta; Magnoliopsida; Lamiales; Oleaceae
Source: RNAcentral